GGUGGUUCUCGGGUGAUGCACCCCGGAAUCAAGCCCCCUCCUCUCUGGUUCCGGUUGCGUCACCUGAGAACUGCA
Non-coding RNA from Myotis lucifugus (little brown bat), 75 nucleotides. NCBI's taxonomy places the organism in Eukaryota, Metazoa, Chordata, Mammalia, Chiroptera, Vespertilionidae. The record is from Rfam.